CACUGCCUGUUUCUCCUACAAAUCGAGUGAUCUAGUGAACUGUUCAAAUAUUGUGACAUGCGCGAUUCGCUACCCACGACGUCGCAAGAAGUCCAUUGAACCUUAUCAUUUAGAGGAAUCAGAAGCGUAACAAGGUUUACGUAGGUGAACAUGCAGAAG
This 159-nucleotide non-coding RNA is filed under the name Solanum tuberosum (potato). The record is from Rfam by way of RNAcentral. Lineage: Eukaryota; Viridiplantae; Streptophyta; Magnoliopsida; Solanales; Solanaceae.